RNAcentral lists this non-coding RNA (87 nucleotides) under Pseudomonas sp. GV071. Lineage: Bacteria; Pseudomonadati; Pseudomonadota; Gammaproteobacteria; Pseudomonadales; Pseudomonadaceae. The record is from RNAcentral.
AGCUAUGGCGGCUGUGCGCGGGAUACCUUCGGGUAUGCCGGUGUUCUUCCGAACCGGUUCGCCAACCUGCGUACAGCUGCCACCCUA